CAGGGAAGUGCCAUCAUCAGUGUUGGAGGCAUGAACAAGCUGCUUGAUUCUGGGCCUGUGUGUGUUGACAUUUCCAUUGUAUUUAAGAGCCCCUCCUCCAACACACACGAACGCGCACAUGACCAAUGAGGGCACGAGAUAAGUUUGUGCACAGAUGGAAGGCUGACAGGCAGGUAGGACAUCCAGUGAUGAUCCGUGAGCGUCCCCUAGUGGAACGAGAACCAGUGAGUCCAGUGCACGGGCUCGCUUUCUUUUCAGUUUGGUGCAACGUGAACCAUCCCACUCUGACAAACAGACUCCGGGAUAUGUCAUUGAUGGUUGCUCAUGAGAUCCUAUGAAUCGCCUAGUCAAUGCUUUAGGGAUGAUUUGUUAAAAAUAUUAGAUCAGACGUUAUGUGUGCUUCAGUUAAAAUUAAGCUUAUUCAUUGCAUUUCAUUUGUUCUUCCAAAGUUACAGUAAAAUAAAAAGGACCCUGACUCGGACAAUACACAAUCCAACAUGUUCAACAGA
Trematomus bernacchii (emerald rockcod) is the source of this 509-nucleotide long non-coding RNA. RefSeq lists it as uncharacterized. The transcript is spliced from 3 exons. Lineage: Eukaryota; Metazoa; Chordata; Actinopteri; Perciformes; Nototheniidae. The record is from RefSeq and is a predicted model, not a curated record.